UACGUAGGGCGCGAGCGUUGUCCGGAAUUAUUGGGCGUAAAGAGCUCGUAGGCGGCCUGUCGCGUCCGCUGUGAAAUCCCGGGGCUUAACCCCGGGCCUGCAGUGGAUACGGGCAGGCUGGAGGCAGGCAGGGGAGAACGGAAUUCCCGGUGUAGCGGUGAAAUGCGCAGAUAUCAGGAAGAACACCCGUGGCGAAGGCGGCUCUCUGGGACGGUACUGACGCUGAGACGCGAAAGCGUGGGGAGCGAACAGG
Molecule: ribosomal RNA, 253 nt
Filed under: uncultured bacterium
Lineage: Bacteria
Description: partial 16S ribosomal RNA
Rfam family: Bacterial small subunit ribosomal RNA
Source: RNAcentral